ACGGGAGGCAGCAGUGGGGAAUAUUGGACAAUGGGGGAAACCCUGAUCCAGCGACGCCGCGUGAGUGAAGAAGUAUUUCGGUAUGUAAAGCUCUAUCAGCAGGGUAGAUAAUGACGGUACCUGACUAAGAAGCCCCGGCUAACUUCGUGCCAGCAGCCGCGGUAAUACGUAGGGGGCAAGCGUUAUCCGGAUUUACUGGGUGUAAAGGGAGCGUAGACGGCAUGGCAAGUCUGAUGUGAAAACCCGGGGCUCAACCCCGGGACUUCAGUGGAAACUGUCAGGCUAGAUUGCAGGAGAGGUAAGUGGAAUUCCUAGUGUAGCGGUGAAAUGCGUAGAUAUUAGGAGGAACACCAGUGGCGAAGGCGGCUUACUGGACUGUAACUGACGUUGAGGCUCGAAAGCGUGGGGAGCAAACAGGAUUAGAUACCCUGGUA
This 434-nucleotide ribosomal RNA is filed under the name uncultured Lachnospiraceae bacterium. RNAcentral describes it as "partial 16S ribosomal RNA". It matches the Rfam family "Bacterial small subunit ribosomal RNA", at positions 341 to 792 of the family's 1533-position model. The record is from RNAcentral. Lineage: Bacteria; Bacillati; Bacillota; Clostridia; Lachnospirales; Lachnospiraceae.